Molecule: ribosomal RNA, 693 nt
Filed under: Mucor parviseptatus
Lineage: Eukaryota; Fungi; Mucoromycota; Mucoromycetes; Mucorales; Mucoraceae
Description: eukaryotic LSU rRNA
Rfam family: Eukaryotic large subunit ribosomal RNA
Source: RNAcentral
GCGGAGGAAAAGAAAAUAACAAUGAUUUCCCUAGUAACGGCGAGUGAAGAGGAAAGAGCUCAAAGUUGGAACCUGUUUGGCUUAGCUAAACCGGAUUGUAAACUGUAGAAGUGUUUUCCAGGCACGCCAGGUAAAAAAGUCCUUUGGAACAGGGCAUCAUAGAGGGUGAGAAUCCCGUCUUUGGCCUGAGCUGUUGCCUUUUGUGAUACACUUUCAAAGAGUCAGGUUGUUUGGGAAUGCAGCCUAAAUUGGGUGGUAAAUCUCACCUAAAGCUAAAUAUUUGCGAGAGACCGAUAGCGAACAAGUACCGUGAGGGAAAGAUGAAAAGAACUUUGAAAAGAGAGUUAAACAGUAUGUGAAAUUGUUAAAAGGGAACCGUUUGGAGCCAGACUGGCUUGAUCGUAAUCAGUCUAGACUUCGGUCUGGAUGCACUUGCGGUCUAUGCCUGCCAACGACAGUUUUAUUUGGGGGAAAAAAUUAUUGGGAAUGUGGCCUUUCGAGGUGUUAUAGCCCUUUAAAAAAUACCCUGGAUUGGACUGAGGAACGCAGUGAAUGCCUUUAGGCAAGAUUGCUGGGUGCUUUCGCUAAUAAAUGCUAGAAUUUCUGCUUCGGGUGGUGCUAGUGUUUAAAGGUGGAACUCGCUUAGUAUAUUUUUUAUUCGCUUAGGUUGUUGGCUUAAUGACUCUAAAUGAC